AAGGGUAUAGCUCAGUGGUAGAGAAUUUGCUUAGCAUGCACAAGGUCCUGGGUUCAAUCCCCAGUACCUGCA
This 72-nucleotide transfer RNA is filed under the name Camelus bactrianus (Bactrian camel). It matches the Rfam family "tRNA". Rfam says of the family: Transfer RNA (tRNA) molecules are approximately 80 nucleotides in length. The record is from Rfam by way of RNAcentral. RNAcentral also lists the same sequence under 1 other name. Lineage: Eukaryota; Metazoa; Chordata; Mammalia; Artiodactyla; Camelidae.